AGCACUAUCAUUAAUUAUAUGUACCACGUGGUUGCCCAGACUUCCUAUUUUGCUUUGACCAAGAGGAAAAUCAGAGCCAAAUUUGUGGUUCAAAUAUAACAACUAUAUGGGACUCUAAAUCAUUUAUUUAGACCUCUGGGACUUCCCUGGUGGAGCAGUGGUUAAGAAUCCGCCUGCCAAUGCAGGGGACGUGGGUUCGAUCCCUGGUCCAGGAAGACCCCACAUGCUGCAGAGCCACUAAGCCCGUGCACCACAAUUAUUGAGCCUGCGCUCUAGAGCCUGUGAGCCACAACUACUGAGACCACAUGCCAUAGCUACUGAAACCGGUGUACCUACAGACCGUGCUCCGCAACAAGAGAAGCCACAGCAAUGAGACGCCCGCGCACCGCAAUGAAGAGUAGCCCCCGCUCGCCACAACUAGAGAAAGCCCAUGAGCACCAACGAAGACCCAACGCAGCCAAAAAUAAUAAAUAUAUUUUAAAAAAUAAAAUAAAAACCUCAGACCUCGUAUAUUCCUUUGUGAUAGCUUCCCGGAAAAAUUCUAGUUUUGCAUUUUUCUUUCUUCUUUAUAAAAUUUAUUUUAUUACUUUAUUCAAAGAUU
This is a long non-coding RNA of Physeter macrocephalus (sperm whale), 601 nucleotides long. RefSeq lists it as uncharacterized. The record is from RefSeq and is a predicted model, not a curated record. The transcript has 3 exons. Lineage: Eukaryota; Metazoa; Chordata; Mammalia; Artiodactyla; Physeteridae.